Molecule: long non-coding RNA, 1666 nt
Filed under: Homo sapiens (human)
Lineage: Eukaryota; Metazoa; Chordata; Mammalia; Primates; Hominidae
Description: non-protein coding C10orf71-AS1:9
Source: RNAcentral
AGAAUAAUCUGCAGCUAGGGGAAGGCCAGGCUGGGUCUCAGGGUGAGAGUUACAGAAGGAUAUGAAAUAAUCGGGGAAGAGGCAAGUCCCGUUCUGCCAGGCUCCCCUCUCCACCUCUGGGAAGGGCUGGCCUCCCUUCAACCCUGAGGUGGGCUCAUGCCUGCCUUCCCAAUGGCUGCUUUCUGUCUCAGGCUGGGGUCACCUGCUCCCCAAACUGCCCACAGAUCCCCCAACUUUUUCCACUGGCUUUUCCUUGGCUUGUGCCAUGCCAGCUCCCAGAGUGCCUUCCUUACUCUCCCAAGCUGGCCCUAGGAUAGUCUGCUUGCUACCAGGAUUUAAUGCAAGAGUGGGUUUUUUUCCCCCUUUCUCUCCAAGGUUCUUUUUUAUGCUUCCCUGACUGUGGCCUGAGAAAGCGGAGAUGACUGGCCCCCGCUGGGUGUCCUGCUCUGUGCAGCGCUCAAAGCCUCUGCAAGUUUGCAGUGUGCUGUGUCUUUGGGUCUAUUUGUAGACUGUCCCUUCUGCCCCUGUGGGCUCUUCAAGGGCAGCAACCUGUGUCCCAGCCCCAAGCUGGGGCCUGGCACCACCUCCAGCCUUGAACCGGCUGACAGCCAGGGCCACAGGGACCCAGGUCUAUGUACUUUUGUCUAAACCAAGUCACAAAGAACAGCUCCUCCUUGCCCUGCAGACUAAGGUGUGAGAUUCCAACCAGCAGGAGCAUUCAGACCCGCCUCCUCCUGGGAGCCUCAAGACUUGCCUUUUGCCCUGAGAGCUUCAGAACCUCGCUGUGGGGAUGAUUACUUGCUGCUCCGCACUCAGAGAUGCUUUGAGGGAGGCCCAAAGUGAACCCCUCAAUUUUACCCACCCACCUCCCUACCUCCCCAUUUGCCAAAACAAACGCAUGCCAAAAGGUCAGACAAAAGCCAUCAACUUGAGAUGGGAGCCAACAUUUAAAAAGUACACAGGAUUUUGAGCCCUGGCUCCAUUAUUUCCUGGUCAGUUGACAUGUCACAUACUUACCCUUCCUGAGCCUCAGUUUACCCAUCUCUAAAGUGGAGAGAAUGCCUGUGCUCUGUGGGAUUCAGGGUCAGGGGAGCUCAUGUACAUGAAUAUGCUCGUCUAUUGCAAAGCUUCCCAAAAUGUUAGUCAUUUAUUUGUUAUUUUUUCCCAUGAUUUUUGCUACACCUCAACCAUCUGUAUCAACAUUUACUUACUAUUUUCCUUUAAAGAAAAUUUAAAUUGACUUGCUUUUUUUCUUGAACAGAAGAACUUUAUGGAAAACAACAAUACUUAAUAGAUCAUGGAUUUGACAUAUUUGUUAAUUUCCCUCCCUCCCAGUACACAUUGAAACAAAUUUACAGUCAGUUCAUAUGUCAUCUGUUUGACCCAAAUCAUUUUGUUCCAGAUGUUAGAAAAUGUUGCAUUACUAAACCUCAUUUUAUGGAGGAGUUUGCUUUGGGGUGUGAGUAACAUGAGCUGAAAGCUUCGGCAGGGCCGCUGGUCUUCCUAAUUUGCUUUCCUCCCCUCCUCAGCACCUUCCUUCCCCAGCUUACGUUUCAUUCUUCACAGGUGGAGAGCAUGACCUCAUGUCUUGUUUAGGAUCCUAGAAACAGCAAGCUUUGCUCUGCAGCAGGAGCGAAUGGUGUUUGCUUGAAGUGGCUGAUUGAGG